AGUAACUGCCUUAUGGCAUCCUGGGUGAAAUGGGUCACAUAUGGCUAUUGCAAAUUGCUGAAAAAAUCUCAGAUGUCACUUAUGGGAAAUUGGUUAACCUACUUAAUACUGAAGACUUACGGCCAUUUUUAUAUUCUACUUUAGUCACAGAGCUAGUCAACGUCUUACAGAUUGUCUUUACAUUUUGGGGGGAUAUUUUAUAUUUUUAGAUGCAUUUUUUUUUAAUGGACUAGCAAUGAAAACAUAUCAGCUUAUGUCUGUUACUCAAUAUGAAGUCUGUUGGGGAAAUCUCUCUUAAAAUGCUUACAUGGUGCCUCUUCUAUACUGGACUGGUUUGUAUGGUUACUGGGCGAUCUCUUCUGGCCACUAUUUUGGGGUGAAACAACCUGCUAGCCAGAGCUGGAAACCAGCUUGUUCAUCUCUGCUGAUGCUUCAGUGCAGCCUGGCUGACUCGGGGUGCCCCUCAUUUACCAGUGUGCUGGCCUGCAAUUCAGGCUUACCUUGAAUGAGGUCGAGAAUAAAACUUGAGUUAUCAAAAACUGUAUUGCUUAUAAAAAGAGCUCCCAAAAGCAGAUUUUCCAGUCUCUGUAUAUAAAAUUCACUUAAAAUAGUUUUUAGUGAGACUAGAGGUGAUAUCCCAGUGUAUGAAAUCUGUCAGAAAUGAUUGAUACACACAUAAGAAGCUGAGUGAAAAUUGAAGUAAAGAUAUGGCAUUGCCAGGCUUCAUUUAAAUACAAAAGCUAUGCAUUUAGAUUGAUUUAUUUUUAUGCCAAUAGGUUCUGACAUAAAUAUAGUGAUAUAUAAUGUAUUGACUAUAAUGUCAACAUUAUUCUAAAGCUGACUCAAGGAAAAAUAUCUCAUUGUUAGUGCUGUAAUAUAAUGCUUUGUUCUGCUGAAGGGGAAGGCCUAUAGAAGUAUGAUCAAAACAACCUCUUUCUUAAGACCCUUUGUAAUGCCUCUUAAAAUGACCUCAGGUUUUGCUAGUCCUUGCGUCCGCACUUCACGGCAUGUUGGCCGUUAGGUUGGUCAUUAGUAUUUAAUGCUCGUCCCGGCUUUGUAAUGAGCACUGUGCACUUUGUACUGGUUAAACUAAUGGGUUACAAGCCUGUGGGCUGUGUGCUCUUGCCGUAAGCCCAUACUAAGAUGUCAAAUGACCUUAUUUGAAAUGUGAAUUGAGGUCUGUAUGCUCUUUUUCUUUUUUUCUUUUUUUCUUUUUUUUUCUUUAAAAAAAAAAAAAAAAAAAAACUUGUUUUGGAACUAACCUUGCUAAGGAUGGAGCAAUUACUGGAUGUUUUGGGGUGAAAAGACAGCUAUUCACUGAGUGAACAGUCUAAUGGAAAUGGGAUUCACCCUUUUUCUUCAGUGCUUCUGUCCUUCACCUUCUGUUAUGAAUUCUGUAGGUCAAAUCUCUGGAUAUUUAGUGAAGCAACGUGACCCUUGGGACCAGGGUAAUUGAUGUUGGCUGUAGCCAUUGGAAGUCAGUGGACACUGCAGCCUUGCAGCAGGGCUGCCAUUCCCUCUCUGUCAGCCCCAGCGUGAACUUUCCUGCUCACUUUAGACUUGGAUCCAGUGCUUCCAUGUCCUUUAUCUGUUCUGAAGGUGUUGCUCGUGUUGAGUAUCUUCUGUUCCUUAGCUUACAUUAGUCUGCAGAAGUUAUGCCGAACCGCACCAUGUUAACUCAAGUCUCCUUUUGCAAUUUUUACAAGCUUUCACCCCUUUUCACACCACUAAGCAUCUCUCUUGUAACAAACGAGCGUGUGUAAUGUCUGAAGUGUCCGUGGCUCCUUGCUCAGCGGUGAGCAAGAUGCAGGGCCUGUCCCCACAGCUCUGUUGUUGUCCCCAUGGCCUGGUGGCACUGGGCUUGUCUGAGGUGGCCUCCAGGCCUCGAUGCACACCAGCGGCUCCAGGAGCGGCCAGUGAAGGCCCCACUUGACCAAGAAACACUUCUGUGGGUCGCCAUGAGGCGAAUUUACCUCAGUGUGUUCCUAAGGGGGCUUUGAGGUGGCCGCAGGCCUGCUCCCUGCUGCUGCCCCAGGCCCUGGCUGUGCAGGGAGCCCUCGUGGUGGGACAGGUCUGCAUCAACCUUUAAACAACGCGUUGGUAAUAACACAUAUACAACCACCACCAUGAGCACAAUAACAUCAGUGUCACUCCCGUAACACUGUACAUUUUGGUACACCUGGUCCAGUGACGUUUCUGUUCAUAUAUGAAAUGUUUUUGAAGUGUGAGACGGAGGGUGCUGUAGAUAGAUUUAAGUUUUUCCAUUUGUAUGAUUUUUUUUUUUACUUUCUCAUUUUCUCCUGCAUUUUUCUACUUUCGUUUUGUACAGGCUGCUGAUAUAAAGAGUUUAUUCAUGAGGUUAACCUAAUUACUGUCUUCAGAAACAAAGCCUGUUUCUACAGUGAAUAUCCUUUUGAAAUCCAUCAUCUGCAUAUUGCCUAAUAAAGUUAGCAAAUGGCCUCCAAAUGAACCAAAAUGACUCAGUAUCUCGUCUAGCAAAGAAUGUAUUAUGGUUUUUCUGAUACUGACAGAAAUGUUUAAAAUUCUCAUUGCAUUGCUUUGCUGCUGGAUUAAUAUGCAUUUCUCUGUCUUGAGAUGAAAAACACUGUCUAGAUUUAAUGCAACACUUACGAAAUUGCUGAUGUGAGUCUCAGUUAAAGCUAUUUUAUAUACACACUGGAGAGCGUACGGGAGACAACUGGAAAGUUCACUUUGAGGAGCUCCAACAUUUGUAAUCAGUAACUAAAAUACAUUCGUGGAGUUGCAAGACUAAAAGGCACGAAUUUAAGUGCCUUCAUCUAUUUUCCGUGCUCGGCACAAAGGUGAUACAUUUUUCAUGUAAGCAAAGCUCCUUGGAGCAGAGGGUGCUCUGGGGAGGUGAUUAAGGAGGAUGGAGAUGUGCUGGCUGAUAGAGCUGGGGCCUGAGCACACACUGUCGGCAUGUCGCGACAUAUAAAAGCCCGUUUUAGCCUCUCCUGUUGCUUGUCUCAAGACAAAUAUUCCUUACUUUAUUCUUUAUGUUCUUUUGGGGGAGAAACAAUUUUUUAUUUUUUAUUUUUUUUUCUCAAAAGGCCAUCACGUCUACUAAGUGCAUUCUGGGACAGUGGCAUUUAAGUUUAACUUUCCUCCUCUGGAGCAAAACCCUGGGUAAUCCUGCUAAAAAGAGAGUAACUGGCAGCCUUUGAUAGUCUCGCUGCUGACUGCCUGCUUGAUUCCUGCAGGCAUUCAUGGGGAAGACUGGGGUGGCCUUUAUGCUGUUCUUAAUUUUCCAUUUCUACCUGGACUGGAACUUUUAUAAAUAAUUUAACUUAAUUAUUAUGUAUCUUUCUAUCCUGGAAAAUAUCAGUUUACAGGAAAACAUGACAGAAAGCAUACUGAAGAGCUGCCUUGUUCCACUGACUACAAGAAUCCAUCAUGAAGCAGUGAUGGACGUUUGAUGUGCCCAAAAGAAAAUCAUUAUUUCAGUUACUUCUUAAAUAGCUCUCUGGUUGGGAAAGAGUAUCUGAAUUAAUGGUAGCUUGGACAUCAUUAUAUAUUAAUGGGCUCCAACUGAUUUAUUUUUUCUGGCAGUUAUCCAUUUGCACAAUGUAUUAUGCCUGACUGAUCCAUUUCCCCUGCUAUUGAGUGGUAGAUUGUGGAUUAGUACCUCGAGCCAACGCCAGUCUGCAUGGGAACGUAAUAGGAUCUUGCAUCGUUUUUAAUGGUGAGUUAUGGGCUGUCACACAGAAUAUCUGGACACACUUAAUAACUUUCUGACGACAACUGUAACAGACGUAAUGGUAAGUAUGUGUUGUCACUGAGCUGCUGGAGAGGCAGGCUCCUGCUUGCCAGGUGCUAUUACACUGGACUGAAUUGCCUUUGUAGAUACUUCUGUAGUUACAAACUUUUUCCUAGCUCCAGUAGUGCUUAAAUAAAAAAAUUGAUCCCAUGGAAUUAUAUUGCUGAAUAUUAAAGUCGGUAUUUAUUUGCAAGAGUCACUUUGGGGUGCCUAAUUUGUCCGCGAGAGCAAGGUUUUUUGCUCAGGCUGCAAAAUGGUGCAAUAAAAAUCAGUGAUUGAUGUUUAUUAUCAGAUUAAAUGGUUUAGCUGUGGGGAUCAAAGUUAUAAAUUACAGCACUCCCCAAGCUGUGAUUGGCCACUAGAGAUCUUUCUAAGUGCCAGCGUUUUUUAAUGAGAUCGUAUAUUUUCAAGCCUCUAACAGUAUCAACUUUUGUAGUUUAUUGAAACUGUGUUUAAAAUAACAGCUUACGGGGUGUCAAAAAUAUUGGAUGUGUUUUGUAUUUGCUUGGUCCAACAUCCUGGGGGGAAAAGCCAUUGCUUUGAAAAUGGUGGUUUUGAUUCCCCAGCAAACAUUGCAGUUCAGUCUGGGGACCUAAAGGAGCAUGAGGGCUGUAGCAUUUACUUUGUUUGGGUUUUGGUCGUUUCAUUUAGAACUUGGGGUGGAAUCUGCUCUGGGUCUUUGGUUGGAUCGAAGUUUAAUGGGCAGCUUUUUCCCUCUUGGGAGUUUGGCCACAGCGAGAGAGGGAUUUUCCUCCACUGUUCAUCAAUGUACAGGAAACUGGAGGCUGCCCCACAUGGGAGAAGAAGGCAAACACCCCAAUAUUGUUUGCUUAUUGCUGAUGGGACAUGACCCUGGAUGUCAAAAGCCUAAUAUUGAAGUCGGAGGCAUUCCAGGAAGGGCACACUGGAAUAAUUGUGUGAAUGCUCUCAAAUUCUCUGCCUGAAAACUACCAGUCAAAGCAUAGCUAAAAUUUAGUCUGCCAUUAGAUAAGACUAAAUUAUAUUUUGUUACUUGCUAAGGGAGAUUUAUAAUUGGGGUAAAAUCUUAACUGUGCAACCAUUAAUCUCACGAACAGCACUGCAGCAUCAAAAGCAAGACAUUGUCUUCCUGUCCCCAGGACGUUCUUUGUCAGAAAAUCAUUUGUUUAACUCAAAGGAGGCCUUUUUCUCUUUUAUGUUAAAAAGUUGGUCUUUUUUUCUUUUUUCUGCUGGCUGCAUUUACUCCUGGGAGACUCUGAUUAAGCAGCUGGCUUCAGAAGAGCGUGCGCUGCGUGGCCCUUCUGGGGGAGAAGUCACGGGGGUGCUGGUGGCACCUCAAAGCAGCUCUCAUCUGUCUGUCCUCCUGUGCUGGCACGCCGAGUGCUCUCAGGGAAAACUCAUGGCUUUCCAAAGAAAGAAAAAAGAAAUGAGAUGAAGUCUUUUGCACAGCGUGGAGCUGAAGACUUGAUUUCCACGUUCUUAACCCCUUGCUCUGAGCACCACUUCAGCAAAAGGUCAGGCGGAGCUGUUUACACCCAGGAAGCAGAGGCAGGAAGGAUCCUCAGGGUUUCCUGGAGCUACCAAGCGAUGCCCGUUGCUUUACGGUGUUCAGCUGGGAUAAGCCUUGAGCUACUGCUGCUGGAAGGGAACUGCUCGGUUAGCAGCAGCAUGGGUUGCUUUACGGAGCAGGCGAGGAGCAGCACGCACCUUCUGCAAGGUUGUCUCAGAUGGAAAUAAAGCACCGAAAUUAUCCUAAUAAAUUAUAAUAAUUGUGCCUGGCAGCAUGCAGUAAUUUAAAAUAGAUUAAUCUAACAAGCCUUAAAUAUGAAUAAAUAAUAAACAUCUUCA
Anas platyrhynchos (mallard) is the source of this 5605-nucleotide non-coding RNA. Lineage: Eukaryota; Metazoa; Chordata; Aves; Anseriformes; Anatidae. The record is from RefSeq and is a predicted model, not a curated record.